GUGCAGUUGUUUCAGACUUGUUGCAAGGUGUUAGACUCACACAAAUAUUAUUAUAUUUAGUUCACCUGAUAUUUUAGCCAGAGAGAAGGGAGAUGACAGACAACCAGAUGUGCUCAGUGGAAAAUCAUUCGAUGGCAAGAGAUACUGGACAUUCUGUUCUCAGGUCUACAAGCUUGACACUCACCACAUCACCUCUCAGUAACUACAUUUCCAAAGUAGUAGUGGAAGGACACUUAAUAAAUGGAGAUGGAAAGACGAACAUUGACAUGCUUGGUCGCUUUCCGAGUAUUUAAUGCUGAGUGAUGACAGUUGCUAGGUAACCUUGAAAUGUGGCCAUAAAAUUGCUCUGGC
Long non-coding RNA from Tachysurus fulvidraco (yellow catfish), 351 nucleotides. RefSeq lists it as uncharacterized. NCBI's taxonomy places the organism in Eukaryota, Metazoa, Chordata, Actinopteri, Siluriformes, Bagridae. The record is from RefSeq and is a predicted model, not a curated record. The transcript has 3 exons.